AUGAUGCUUCCAGAGCAAGGGAAAAAGAGAAAACUCACUCCGCCCGAGCGGCGCAUGGCGUCGUGCUCCGUCGAGGACCCCAAGCCAAGACAGACCCAGCAAAACGCCUCGGCCCGCAAAAAAAUUUGCGGGGCGCGGCAAAUCUUCUCCCCCAACCUCUAUCUUCACGGGCUGGGAGGCCGACCCGAGCUCAACCCCCAUCCGGCGCGAGAUUUGACGGGAGGGACAUUUCCGCGCCCCCUUUCCCGCUUCCCGCACCCUCCGCCACCAUUGCCCCCCUCCGAAAGCUCCAGCUGCUCCUCCCCGGCCGUCCCUCGCCGCCAUGGACGACCCCAUGCUGCCCCCCGUCACCGUCGAGGUCGCGCACGCCCCUUCCCCUCGGACGGAUCUCGUCGCCGGCCAUAUAGGCCCCGACGGCGUCGCCCAAGCACACGCCACGCCUGCCCGCCAGCGGUAGGGCAACGUACUUGUGCAAGGCGGGAAUCCGGCUGCCCCCGCCGCGAUGGCCCGCGCUCCGGGCGGCAAUGCCGUUGUGCGAUCCCGGCCGGCGGCGGAGAAGGCCAGCAAGGUCGCGAGCGCAAAGCGGAGGAAUGUUCCGACUUCAAGGAACAAAUCUUCUUCAACCUCUCGCUCCAUCCCCCCGCAAGGAGGUGCUCCGGCGAUGCCGUUCAACGGUGCCGCUCCCCCCGCGAGCGAGGUGUUCGACGAAAUGGCCGGAAGAGCGGUGGUUCGAACAAUGCAACAACCGAGUUCGUGAACUUGUUGGACAUGAACGCGGUUGACAUUGAUCAAGCCCCCUUCGAACCUUUCGACUACAAUGAAACAGAGUGCGGCGUGGACGAUCAUGAGAUAUUGGCAAGGAUCGAAGAUCAAUACUUCCGCAUUAUGAAAAACUACCCCAACAAGACUCCACGCACAUUUCGGUCACUUCAAGGUCGUUGGGAGAACAUCAAGCCUAUGUGCAGCCGUUGGGCAGCUUGCUUGGAGCAAGUACGCAAUGCACCUCCAAGUGGCACCGUGGAGUCUGACUAUGACAAGAUUGCUCAACAUAGAUACAAGGACAUGGAAGCUUCGGAAGGCAGAUUCUUCAAAUUAGAGCAUUGUUGGGAGUUGCUCCAAAAGUGCGACAAUUGGAAGUUGAUCGACAAAGAGUCCCCACCAAAGAGAGGCUCACUUACAAACAUGGAUGAAGAUGAGGAUGAUGAUGGCCCAAGAAAUUUGAACAAGCCCGAUGGCGACAAGAAGACUAGAGAGAAGAUAAAGAGAGAGCAAGAAGCAUCGAGCUUGAGGGAGAAGAUUGAUGCCAUGGUGCAAUCAAACGAGUUAAUGUUGUUGAAGUCGUUGGAGAUCAAGAAAGAGUUGGCCAAAAAGAAGGCAAAAGAGAAGCAAGAAAAAUGGCAAAUGCUCAAGGAAGAGGGGCUGCGCAGAGCUGCCAUUGAGGAGAGAAAAGUACGCGCCUCUGAAAACAAAUCGUUGUCAUUGUUGCUCGCCGAAGAGAACAAGAUCAUGUCAAUGAACCGCAAUGACAUGGACGACGUCACCAAAACAUGGCAUGAUAUGGCAAGGAGAGAGAUCUUGAAGAGGAGAAUGGUCGCCUCGGCCGGUCCGUCUGCCAGUUCCGGUGAUGUUUUCUCUGCUCCAUACGGUGGCAAUGUGGAUGAUUUCGGUGCGGGAGUUGGAACAAGCGAUGAAGGUGGCUACGGUGGCGCCGAUGAACUUCAAGAUGGACUCCAUGGCGUCGAGUGA
RNAcentral lists this ribosomal RNA (1746 nucleotides) under Triticum aestivum (bread wheat). RNAcentral's name for it is "partial small subunit ribosomal RNA". Lineage: Eukaryota; Viridiplantae; Streptophyta; Magnoliopsida; Poales; Poaceae. The record is from RNAcentral.